Molecule: long non-coding RNA, 1028 nt
Filed under: Coturnix japonica (Japanese quail)
Lineage: Eukaryota; Metazoa; Chordata; Aves; Galliformes; Phasianidae
Description: lncRNA (ENSCJPG00005016813.1)
Source: RNAcentral
GACAGACAUUAACAUUCAUUAAAGAAAAGCUGGGGAAAAAAACAGAUUUAGGAAUUCAGGAACCAGAGAAGCAACUACGUGGCUUGCAAUCUGUUAUUAUUUAACAGAAUCUUAUGAACUGAUAAACUUGAUCACUUGUAAUAUCUGGGCAUACCAGUCAGUUAAAAUAUUCAGUGGAAGAAAUCUGACUCCGUUGCAGCCCAGAAAAGUUUAUGAAGCUUUAAGCACUAGUUUAAAAGACAAAGCUGCUAAAUGUGCCAAUUAAUGAAAGUAAUUUUUGGAUACAAUGCCUUAAUGCUUAACGCUGUUUGGUAGUGCUUAGGCUGUGCUGUCACUAAUUAUGAGGCAAGCAAAUAGCGGCAGACAGCUGGAGAAACCUUUGAAGGCAUGCUGCUGCUGCUUCUUACAGGUUAAAUUCUGUCUCAAGGAAUUGAAUUGGGGCGUUGCUACUCAAGUAACAGCAAUGGAAAUUCUGGCUGUAAAAGAAGAUGGAUGUUGCCCAGUAACAUGGGGAUCUCAGUAAUCCACAGAUUGACUGGCUCAGAAUGACUGAAAAGGAGAAAAUUCUGAAGCAAAGAAGAAACAAAAUAUGAGAACAAAAAGAUUAUGGUGAAAAUAUGAAUAUGAAUAUAUGAAAAUUAUGCGAAGUGAAAUGCUGUUAUAUUGAUGAUUCAUCACCAAACUUUAGUACAGUAUCAUUUAUUAAUGAAUUUUAUGCUAAGUGUAAACGGAAGCCAACAAAGAAGAGAACAUAUGAGGAAAAAGUCCCAAUCAUGUUUUCCAAAUGUCAGUAUACAACAGGCUAUAUACUCUUCCAGUAGUCUAAAUGGUUGAACUGGUAUCAAGCUGGAAACCUGAGUGUUAUUUAUUUAUUGAGGGACUUUUUGCUGCCUUUUGCUUUCAAGAAGCUGAAAGGCAAAUUAGAUAAAAGACUUGGACUAUAAACAGAGCUGGCUAGAACUCGAAUGUUUGAGGGAAUCCUUGCAGUCCUGCACCAUCUGCCAUUUAGGGCACUGAGAAAAUGCUGC